CCUACGGGAGGCAGCAGUGGGGGAUAUUGCACAAUGGGGGGAACCCUGAUGCAGCGACGCCGCGUGAGCGAUGAAGUAUUUCGGUCUGUAAAGCUCUAUUAGCAGGGAAGAAAAUGAGGGUACCUGAAUAAGAAGCCCCGGCUAAUUACGUGCCAGCAGCCGCGGUAAUACGGAGGGGGAAAGGGUUAUCCGGUUAUACUGGGUGGAAAGGGAGCGUAGACGGCAAUGCAAGUAGGGUGGGAAAGGCAAGGGGUCAAACUUUGGACUGCUAUGGAAACUGUGCUGCUAGAGUGUCGGAGAGGCUAGUGGAAUUCCUAGUGUAGCGGUGAAAUGCGUAGAUAUUAGGAGGAACACCAGUGGCGAAGGCGGCUUGCUGGAC
Molecule: ribosomal RNA, 379 nt
Filed under: uncultured bacterium
Lineage: Bacteria
Description: partial 16S ribosomal RNA
Rfam family: Bacterial small subunit ribosomal RNA
Source: RNAcentral